RNAcentral lists this ribosomal RNA (484 nucleotides) under uncultured Acidobacteriota bacterium. RNAcentral's name for it is "bacterial SSU rRNA". It matches the Rfam family "Bacterial small subunit ribosomal RNA", at positions 30 to 507 of the family's 1533-position model. Lineage: Bacteria; Pseudomonadati; Acidobacteriota. The record is from RNAcentral.
UGAACGCUGGCGGCGUGCCUUACACAUGCAAGUCGGAUGUGUCGCAAGACACAUGGCAGACGGGUGAGUAACACGUGGGAAACUUACCUCUUAGUGGGGAAUAACGCUCCGAAAGGAGCGGUAAUACCGCAUAAGACCUAUCGCUGGGAUGCGAUAGAUGAAAGCUGGGGAUCGUAAGACCUAGCGCUGAGAGAGAGUCCUGCGUCUGAUUAGUUAGUUGGUGAGGUAACGGCUCACCAAGACUUCGAUCAGUAGCCGGCCUGAGAGGGCGAUCGGCCACACUGGAACUGAGACACGGUCCAGACUCCUACGGGAGGCAGCAGUGGGGAAUCUUGCGCAAUGGGCGAAAGCCUGACGCAGCAACGCCGCGUGGGUGAUGAAGGUCUUCGGAUUGUAAAACCCUGUCGUUAGGGACGAAGGUAUGAAUCCUAAUACGGUUCAUGCUUGACGGUACCUAGAAACGGAAGCCCCGGCUAACUCUGUG